GAGAGAGAGAGAGAGAGAGAGAGAAGAGAAAGCGUCGGCGACCGUCAAAGACUUGAAGAGAGAGCGGAAGCGGAAGCGGAAGCG
This 84-nucleotide non-coding RNA is filed under the name Picochlorum sp. RCC944. Lineage: Eukaryota; Viridiplantae; Chlorophyta; Trebouxiophyceae. The record is from RNAcentral.